Molecule: transfer RNA, 74 nt
Filed under: Vibrio crassostreae
Lineage: Bacteria; Pseudomonadati; Pseudomonadota; Gammaproteobacteria; Vibrionales; Vibrionaceae
Description: tRNA-Arg
Rfam family: tRNA
About the family: Transfer RNA (tRNA) molecules are approximately 80 nucleotides in length.
Source: RNAcentral
GCGUCCUUAGCUCAGUUGGAUAGAGUACCUGGCUACGAACCAGGCGGUCGGAGGUUCGAAUCCUCCAGGACGCG